CAGUAGCCACGGUAAUACAGAGGGUGCGAGCGUUAAUCGGAUUUACUGGGCGUAAAGCGUGCGUAGGCGGCUUUUUAAGUCGGAUGUGAAAUCCCUGAGCUUAACUUAGGAAUUGCAUUCGAUACUGGGAAGCUAGAGUAUGGGAGAGGAUGGUAGAAUUCCAGGUGUAGCGGUGAAAUGCGUAGAGAUCGGAAGGAACAUCUGUGGCGAAGGCGACUAUCUGGGCCAACACUGACACUGAGGCACGAAAGCGUGGGGAGCAAACAGGAUUAGAUACCCGCGUAGUCCCUGUCUCUUAUAC
Molecule: ribosomal RNA, 301 nt
Filed under: uncultured bacterium
Lineage: Bacteria
Description: partial 16S ribosomal RNA
Rfam family: Bacterial small subunit ribosomal RNA
Source: RNAcentral